GCCUCAGCCGUGUCCCUCCUGAUCCCUUUUCUACCUCUCCACCCCCAGGCUUCACAAGGGCUGUGGCGCCGGCUGCAAUAGUGGCGGGAACGUGGAUGAUUCAGACUGUAGUGGGGGCGGUGGCCUGACCUCCCUCAGCAAUAACCCCCCCGUGGCACACCCCACACCUGAGAACACGGCAGGUGAGCAGGCGAGGCUGGGCUGAACCCGUGAGUGAGGAGUGCAGCCCAGCUGAGGUCUCUGCUGUCUUAUCUGUCUCCUACAGGCAAUGGUGACCAACCCCUCCCACCAGGCCCUGGCUGGGGGCCGCGGUCCUCCCUGAGUGGCUCUGGUGAUGGGCGGCCCCCACCUCUGCUGCAGUGGCCUCCCCCUCGGCUCCCUGGACCACCCCCUGCAUCGCCUAUCCCCACAGAGGGUCCCCGGACCUCACGGCCCCCUGGCCCGGGUCUCCUCAGUUCUGAGGGCCCCAGUGGGAAGUGGAGCCUGGGGGGCCGGAAGGGGCUGGGAGGAUCUGACGGGGAGCCAGCCUCAGGGAGCCCCAAAGGAGGUACCCCCAAAUCUCAGGCGCCUCUAGACCUCAGCCUCAGCCUCAGCCCCGAUGUCAGCACUGAGGCCUCACCCCCCAGAGCUUCCCAGGACAUUCCUUGCUUGGACAGCAGUGCCCCUGAGAGUGGCACACCUAUGGGUGCCCUGGGCGACUGGCCUGCCCCUAUUGAGGAGCGUGAGAGCCCGGCAGCCCAGCCCCUGCUGGAACACCAGUACUGAGCUACCUGGCGCCCACUGGACCUCCUCCUAGGAUUCAGUAACGGACCUGCUCUGCUGCCUCUCUGCUGGACCACAGAACUGAGUGGCUUUGGCCUACAUGUCUGAACCCUGACCUUUGGCUGCCUUGGCCAGAGUGCCAAAACUGAGUGACCCAGACCUCUGACCUUGACCCCUGAUCUCUCUCAUCCCCAGUCCAGGGCCUGGGCUCCCCAGAUGGAGG
Molecule: long non-coding RNA, 985 nt
Filed under: Pan troglodytes (chimpanzee)
Lineage: Eukaryota; Metazoa; Chordata; Mammalia; Primates; Hominidae
Description: long non-coding RNA NONPTRT002708
Source: RNAcentral